This 253-nucleotide ribosomal RNA is filed under the name uncultured bacterium. RNAcentral's name for it is "partial 16S ribosomal RNA". It matches the Rfam family "Bacterial small subunit ribosomal RNA", at positions 524 to 776 of the family's 1533-position model. The record is from RNAcentral.
UACGUAGGGUGCAAGCGUUGUCCGGAAUUAUUGGGCGUAAAGAGUUCGUAGGCGGUCUGCGGCGUCUGCUGUGAAAACUCAGGGCUUAACCCUGAGCUUGCAGUGGGUACGGGCAGACUAGAGUGCGGUAGGGGAGACUGGAAUUCCUGGUGUAGCGGUGAAAUGCGCAGAUAUCAGGAGGAACACCGGUGGCGAAGGCGGGUCUCUGGGCCGUAACUGACGCUGAGGAGCGAAAGCAUGGGGAGCGAACAGG